AUCCAGCUGAUCAGUUCCAAACAGAACAAAACGCGCGUCCUAGAU
This is a non-coding RNA of Schistosoma curassoni, 45 nucleotides long. NCBI's taxonomy places the organism in Eukaryota, Metazoa, Platyhelminthes, Trematoda, Strigeidida, Schistosomatidae. The record is from Rfam.